Long non-coding RNA from Parus major (Great Tit), 392 nucleotides. RefSeq lists it as uncharacterized. Lineage: Eukaryota; Metazoa; Chordata; Aves; Passeriformes; Paridae. The transcript is spliced from 3 exons. The record is from RefSeq and is a predicted model, not a curated record.
CAACAACUUGGUUUGACGCUUGAACCCCCUCACUUCCAUUCACCACCUCCUGCUCUCCAUCAGUUCAACAUUCCCCACAUAAGAAAAGCUGAGCUCCAGUUCUUCCCAGCUGUUUGGUGUUUUGAAGCCUUUUCUCAGAUCAGCAAUUAGGUGGAUCAGGUGAUCCAGGAAAUUCUGUCAUCCCUUCAGCUGGGAGGCCACAGAUCCAUCUCCACACCUGGGACUCCAGGUCCCACUUGGCUGCUUCUGUCACACUUGUGCUGCAGGUCUCUGUGCCCAGGAGCUGUAGGAACGGAAAUAAGGGUGAACCCUUGGCAGAGAAACGAAUCAGAGCUGAAUCUUGUAUGCUGCAGAAGGACCUUGGAUCCCACUGUAGGUUCCUGGGAUUCCCA